GAUCAUGGCUCAGGAUGAACGCUAGCUACAGGCUUAACACAUGCAAGUCGCGGGGUAACAUCUGGAAGAGCUUGCUCUUCCAGGAUGACGACCGGCGCACGGGUGAGUAACGCGUAUCCAACCUGGCCCAUGCCACGGGAUAGCCCGUCGAAAGGCGGAUUAAUACCGUAUGCUGUCAUUAAGAUGCAUAUAUUGAUGACGAAAGGACUGGCGGUAUGGGAUGGGGA
RNAcentral lists this ribosomal RNA (227 nucleotides) under uncultured bacterium. Its description in RNAcentral is "partial 16S ribosomal RNA". It matches the Rfam family "Bacterial small subunit ribosomal RNA", at positions 15 to 231 of the family's 1533-position model. The record is from RNAcentral.